AUACGUAGGGGGCGAGCGUUAUCCGGAAUUAUUGGGCGUAAAGAGUACGUAGGUGGUUGCGUAAGCGCAAGGUGAAAGACCGAGGCUUAACUUCGGUGAGCCUUGUGAACUGCGUGACUUGAGUGCAGGAGGGGAAAGUGGAAUUCCUAGUGUAGCGGUGAAAUGCGUAGAUAUUAGGAGGAACACCAGUGGCGAAGGCGUCUUACGGGUAUGUAUCUAACACGAAGGUACUAAUGCGCAGUGAGGAAAGAGGAUUAGAUACCCUGGUAGUCCACUGCGUAAACGAUUAGCACAAGGUGUUGGCGUAGAAAUACGUCGGUGCCGAAGUUAACACAUUAAGUGCUCCGGCUUGAGAGUUCGCACUCAACUGUGAAGCUCGAAUGAAUUGACGGGU
RNAcentral lists this ribosomal RNA (394 nucleotides) under uncultured bacterium. RNAcentral's name for it is "partial 16S ribosomal RNA". It matches the Rfam family "Bacterial small subunit ribosomal RNA", at positions 523 to 918 of the family's 1533-position model. The record is from RNAcentral.